This 236-nucleotide ribosomal RNA is filed under the name Clostridioides difficile. RNAcentral describes it as "partial 23S ribosomal RNA". It matches the Rfam family "Bacterial large subunit ribosomal RNA", at positions 747 to 983 of the family's 2925-position model. The record is from RNAcentral. Lineage: Bacteria; Bacillati; Bacillota; Clostridia; Peptostreptococcales; Peptostreptococcaceae.
GAAGCGAAAGUAAAAUUUCGUGGAGGUCCGAACCCACGAGCGUUGAAAAGCUCGGGGAUGACUUGUGGGUAGCGGUGAAAUUCCAAUCGAGCCCGGAGAUAGCUGGUUCUCCCCGAAAUAGCUGUAGGGCUAGCCUCAAGGUGAGAGAUACGGAGGUAGAGCACUGAAUGUCCUAGGGGGUAUUGCACCUACCGAAGACUAUCAAACUCCGAAUGCCGUCAUCUUAUACUUGGGAG